Molecule: ribosomal RNA, 435 nt
Filed under: Leifsonia aquatica
Lineage: Bacteria; Bacillati; Actinomycetota; Actinomycetes; Micrococcales; Microbacteriaceae
Description: bacterial SSU rRNA
Rfam family: Bacterial small subunit ribosomal RNA
Source: RNAcentral
AACGCGAAGAACCUUACCAAGGCUUGACAUAUACGAGAACGGGCUAGAAAUAGUCAACUCUUUGGACACUCGUAAACAGGUGGUGCAUGGUUGUCGUCAGCUCGUGUCGUGAGAUGUUGGGUUAAGUCCCGCAACGAGCGCAACCCUCGUUCUAUGUUGCCAGCACGUAAUGGUGGGAACUCAUAGGAGACUGCCGGGGUCAACUCGGAGGAAGGUGGGGAUGACGUCAAAUCAUCAUGCCCCUUAUGUCUUGGGCUUCACGCAUGCUACAAUGGCCGGUACAAAGGGCUGCAAUACCGCAAGGUGGAGCGAAUCCCAAAAAGCCGGUCUCAGUUCGGAUUGAGGUCUGCAACUCGACCUCAUGAAGUCGGAGUCGCUAGUAAUCGCAGAUCAGCAACGCUGCGGUGAAUACGUUCCCGGGCCUUGUACACACCG